RNAcentral lists this ribosomal RNA (113 nucleotides) under Acanthosepion pharaonis. The record is from RNAcentral. Lineage: Eukaryota; Metazoa; Mollusca; Cephalopoda; Sepiida; Sepiidae.
UAUGGCCACAUCACAUUGAAACACUGGUUACCAUACGAUCACCAAAGUUAAGCAAUGUCAAGCCUGGUUAGUACCUAGAUGGGUGACCGCUUGGGAAUACCAGGUGUGGUAAG